UGGUAAUGGGGAGCUGCACAGGUGGCCUUUCUGAGCAGCCCAGGUGCUGCUUCCAUCCGUGUCAGACACAGCAACUUCAAGCAUUCUCCAAAACAGAGACCUGCUGGUCAGAGCUGAGCCCAUCAGUGAGAAUGGUUGCAACUCUGUGAUAACAAAUUUAAGAAAGGACAAAAAAACACUGCAGCAUCUGUAAGAGACAGGAGUGAGAAAAUGUGAGUGAGAGAGAAGCAGCCCUGCAGCCCCCAAGAUUACACAGAUUCUUUGCCAGCAUGCUGCCCCCUAAUUAUCCAGCUGAAGAUGUUGCCUGUGCCACAGACAAGUAGGAGAGCUUCGUGUGGAGGUCUUUGAAGAUUUCUCGGGAGGCUGCUAUGCAGCAACUGUUAUGCAUAGACUCCUUCAAGGGACAGGGUGGACUUGGCUACUCUUUCCUGGAGGGGAUUCCAAGGCACUCUGCUCUGAAUUGCUUCACGCCACUUGGCCAAGCACUGAAGAUCAUUUCUGAGAGCUAACAAAUUUUGUAGCGUAGAUGCAGCCAUCAAGGAGUUCCAGCUGUAUCCCUUCCCCCAUGCCAGCUUUAAGUCUUACACAAGAUGAGCAGGCCCCACUGCAUAAUGCUAUUCUUAUUCUGGGCAACCCCUAGGACAGAUCUUAGGUGUACCAAAAUACCAUGCUUGGGGACAGCAGGUGGCCUAAAAAUGCCAGGUCACGUCAUGCUUGAUACCUCCUGACAAGACCCUUUUGGUGCCUCCUUAAGGGAUGUCCAUGGUCUCCCUAUCCCCAUGCCUACUGAUGUAGAGGCUUUCACAGGCAGAUGAGAGGGGCAUUUCUGGUUAGUAUGAAUGUCUCACUAAACCAUCUAGUCUUAUGUCUUGACAGACAAGACUUCUGCCUGUUCUCCCUUCCUCUCAUUUUAAUUUGCUUUUAUUUCCAUAAAUGCAUGCAUAUUUCUCUACUUGUACAUGUCAUGAGACGUGCUUCCCCUCAUUGUUGGACUGGCACAGCCAGUCCCUUGUUUUUUUAGGAGUGAUGUUAUAUAAUAAACAUUCAAACCCUAUGAACAUGACAAGAGGCUCCUGACAGUUAUAAUUAUAUUCCA
Molecule: long non-coding RNA, 1096 nt
Organism: Cygnus olor (mute swan)
Lineage: Eukaryota; Metazoa; Chordata; Aves; Anseriformes; Anatidae
Exons: 3
Source: RefSeq, a predicted model, not a curated record